UACGAAGGGGGCUAGCGUUGUUCGGAUUUACUGGGCGUAAAGCGCACGUAGGCGGACUAUUAAGUCAGGGGUGAAAUCCCGGGGCUCAACCCCGGAACUGCCUUUGAUACUGGUAGUCUUGAGUUCGAGAGAGGUGAGUGGAAUUCCGAGUGUAGAGGUGAAAUUCGUAGAUAUUCGGAGGAACACCAGUGGCGAAGGCGGCUCACUGGCUCGAUACUGACGCUGAGGCACGAAAGCGUGGGGAGCAAACAGG
RNAcentral lists this ribosomal RNA (253 nucleotides) under uncultured bacterium. RNAcentral's name for it is "partial 16S ribosomal RNA". It matches the Rfam family "Bacterial small subunit ribosomal RNA", at positions 524 to 776 of the family's 1533-position model. The record is from RNAcentral.